GGGUCUUCCUUCUCCCCCUCAGACCUGCUCCUCACUUGGGCCUUCUCCUUGCUGUUUCCCCAUCCCUUUUAUCUUCCAAGGGAACCUUCUUGACUACCCUUUUUAGAAUAAUAUCCUCAUCACCUCCCACCACUUUAUCCCAUAAUCCUGUUUUAUUUUCUGUGCAGCUUUUAUCUCUCUGUACAAGCUAUGCAGAAUGCUUGUGAUCCUUUUUAGAGUGACUAGGAGUAAACAUUUAUUUCACCUUGAAGGAAAUGAAUGUUUCAGGAAGAGGCCCAGGAGCUU
RNAcentral lists this long non-coding RNA (285 nucleotides) under Pan troglodytes (chimpanzee). Its description in RNAcentral is "long non-coding RNA NONPTRT011570". The record is from RNAcentral. Lineage: Eukaryota; Metazoa; Chordata; Mammalia; Primates; Hominidae.